This is an RNA transcript of Sapajus apella (tufted capuchin), 1322 nucleotides long. It is a transcript of the gene named succinate dehydrogenase cytochrome b560 subunit, mitochondrial pseudogene, with no coding region annotated. The transcript is spliced from 2 exons. Lineage: Eukaryota; Metazoa; Chordata; Mammalia; Primates; Cebidae. The record is from RefSeq and is a predicted model, not a curated record.
AUGGAUAGCCGAAAAUUCCUUGCUUUCCCACUGAUGCCAAACAGGUUGGAGAUGAAGGAACCCAAGACGGCUGCACUCUUGCUGAGACAUGCUGGUCAUCAUUGCCUCCAAGCCCACUUUUGCCCGAAGCUCUGUGUCAGAAAUGCUGUUCCUUUGGGAACCACAGCCAAAGAAGAGAUGGAUCAGUUCUGAAAUAAGAAUACAGGCUCAAACCAUCCCGUUUGAACACAUCACUAUCUACAGUUGGUCUCUUCCCAUGGUAAUGUCCAUCUGUCACCGUGGCACUGGCAUUGCUUUGAGUGCAGGGGUCUCUCUUUCUGGCACAUCGGCCCUGUUACUCCCUGGGAACUUUGAGUCUUAUAUGGAACUCAUGAAGUCCCUGCAUCUGGGGCCAGCACUGAUCCACGCAGCUAAGUUUGCACUUGUCUUCCCUCUCAUGUAUCAUACCUGGAAUGGGAUCUGCCACUUGAUUUGGGAACUAGGAAAAGGCAUGAAGAUUCCCCAGCUAUACCAGUCUGGAGUGGUUGUUCUGGUUCUUACUGUGUUGUCCUCUAUAGGGCUGGCAGUCAUGUGAAGAACAGAGGUUCCCAGGAUCAUCUUCCUGUACAUUAUUACAUUCACCCAUCUUUCUGUUUGUCACUUUUAUCUCCAGCCUGGGAAAAGUUCCCCUUAUUUGCUUGGAUCCUUUUGCGCUUUCAGAUCCCCUUGGAGCAGUAGAGUACCUUGUAGACCAUAAUAGUGGAAAAGGGUGUAGUUUUCCCCUUGUGUUUAAAGAUGGGGUGGCUGCAAAAACUCCCCUUUUUUGCCCACAGCUUAUCUACUCUGGGCCUGGAAGCAGUUAUUCCCUUACCAUAUUGGGCUUUGAUUUCUGCUGAGGGUCAGCUUUUGGCUCCUUCUUCCUGACAGUGGAAACAAUGCUAACUCUGUGGCUUCUGCCCUGGGGACGGGGGGUGAAGCUUUGAGUGCCACUCUCUGUGUGUUGCUGGCUUAAACAACAAUUUUGUUCGCUGGUAAGAGCCCAGGCCAUUAACACCUAUGUAGUGUUAUUGAAAGAAGAGAGGUGAGGGUGGAAAGGAAUUAGUCUAUGCCAGCUAGAGGGAGAUAAAGAGGACUAGUUAGUUCUUGGAGCAGCUGCUUUGAGGAGAAACUAUACAGCUUUUGACACAAGAGGAAGGUCCAGAAAAUUAUCAUUGAACAUAUUAAAGGUUAUUUCUUUCUCUUGCAUUUCCAGAAAAGCCUCUUAAUUUUAUGCUUUCUUAUCCAAGUCAUGUACCAUUUUUUUUCUGAAACUGAAUUAAAAUAUUCUUAAAAAAAAAAACAAA